This is a non-coding RNA of Schizosaccharomyces pombe (fission yeast), 225 nucleotides long. The record is from the annotation of a GenBank genome assembly. Lineage: Eukaryota; Fungi; Ascomycota; Schizosaccharomycetes; Schizosaccharomycetales; Schizosaccharomycetaceae.
AGCUAUUGUCAGAACCAAAAAGUCCUGAGUUUAUGGGAAAGAGUGAGCUUACUAGUUAUGUAAGAUAUUACACUCUCUAUCACAAAAAAAAGCAAGUAUGCGGUAACAAUUCUUCGAUUCCAUGACUCUUUUUAAUUGGCAAGUUGUUGUGCUUCUUCCGUCGGUCUAAAACAACUAAAUUCUUAUUUAUUGACAUCUUUAAGACCAAAAUAGUCGCUUGUCAAA